RNAcentral lists this ribosomal RNA (292 nucleotides) under uncultured bacterium. RNAcentral's name for it is "partial 16S ribosomal RNA". The record is from RNAcentral.
GGACUACUGGGGUUUCUAAUCCUGUUUGCUCCCCACGCUUUCGCGCCUUAGCGUCAGAAACGACCCAGAUAGCCGCCUUCGCCACCGGUAUUCCUCCUAAUAUCUAAGAAUUUCACCUCUACACUAGGAAUUCUACUAUCCUCUAUCGUUCUCUAGUUAAUGAGUUUUGAAAGCAGUUCCCAGGUUAAGCCCGGGGCUUUCACUUUCAACUUUAUUAACCGCCUACACGCCCUUUACGCCCAAUAAUUCCGAAAAACGCUAGCUCCCCCCGUAUUACCGCGGCUGCUGGCAC